GACGAACGCUGGCGGCGUGCUUAACACAUGCAAGUCGAACGAAGAGCGAUGGAAGCUUGCUUCUAUCAAUCUUAGUGGCGAACGGGUGAGUAACGCGUAAUCAACCUGCCCUUCAGAGGGGGACAACAGUUGGAAACGACUGCUAAUACCGCAUACGAUCUAAUCUCGGCAUCGAGGAUAGAUGAAAGGUGGCCUCUACAUGUAAGCUAUCACUGAAGGAGGGGAUUGCGUCUGAUUAGCUAGUUGGAGGGGUAACGGCCCACCAAGGCGAUGAUCAGUAGCCGGUCUGAGAGGAUGAACGGCCACAUUGGGACUGAGACACGGCCCAGACUCCUACGGGAGGCAGCAGGGGGGAAUCUUCCGCAAGGGACGAAAGUCUGACGGAGCAACGCCGCGGGAGGGAUGACGGCCUUCGGGUUGUAAAGCUCGGUUAAUCGGGACGAAAGGCCUUCUUGCGAAUAGUGAGAAGGAUUGACGGUACCGGAAUAGAAAGCCACGGCUAACUACGUG
This 510-nucleotide ribosomal RNA is filed under the name uncultured bacterium. Its description in RNAcentral is "partial 16S ribosomal RNA". It matches the Rfam family "Bacterial small subunit ribosomal RNA", at positions 28 to 507 of the family's 1533-position model. The record is from RNAcentral.